ACGGUGGGUGAUCUGCCUGCACUUCGGGAUGAGCUUGGGAAACUGGGUCUAAUACCGGAUAGGAGCCAUCUUUGGUGUGGUGGUUGGAAAGUUUUUCGGUGUAGGAUGAGCUCGCGGCCUAUCAGCUUGUUGGUGGGGUAAUGGCCUACCAAGGCGGCGACGGGUAGCCGGCCUGAGAGGGUGUACGGCCACAUUGGGACUGAGAUACGGCCCAG
Molecule: ribosomal RNA, 215 nt
Filed under: uncultured Actinomycetales bacterium
Lineage: Bacteria; Bacillati; Actinomycetota; Actinomycetes; Actinomycetales
Description: partial 16S ribosomal RNA
Rfam family: Bacterial small subunit ribosomal RNA
Source: RNAcentral